UAGGGAAUCUUCCGCAAUGGACGCAAGUCUGACGGAGCAACGCCGCGUGAGUGAAGAAGGAUUUCGGUUCGUAAAACUCUGUUGUUAGAGAAGAACAGCGCAUAGAGUAACUGUUAUGCGUGUGUCGGUAUCUAACCAGAAAGCCACGGCUAACUACGUGCCAGCAGCCGCGGUAAUACGUAGGUGGCAAGCGUUGUCCGGAUUUAUUGGGCGUAAAGCGAGCGCAGGCGGUCAAUUAAGUCUGAUGUGAAAGCCCCCGGCUCAACCGGGGAGGGUCAUUGGAAUCUGGUUGACUUGAGUGCAGAAGAGGAGAGUGGAAUUCCAUGUGUAGCGGUGAAAUGCGUAGAUAUAUGGAGGAACACCAGUGGCGAAGGCGACUCUCUGGUCUGUAACUGACGCUGGGGCUCGAAAGCGUGGGUAGCAAACAGG
Molecule: ribosomal RNA, 429 nt
Filed under: Bacteroidota bacterium
Lineage: Bacteria; Pseudomonadati; Bacteroidota
Description: Bacteroidetes bacterium partial 16S ribosomal RNA
Rfam family: Bacterial small subunit ribosomal RNA
Source: RNAcentral